RNAcentral lists this ribosomal RNA (253 nucleotides) under uncultured bacterium. RNAcentral's name for it is "partial 16S ribosomal RNA". It matches the Rfam family "Bacterial small subunit ribosomal RNA", at positions 524 to 776 of the family's 1533-position model. The record is from RNAcentral.
UCCGUAGGGGGCGAGCGUUAAUCGGAAUUACUGGGCGUAAAGCGUGCGCAGGCGGUUAUGUAAGACAGAGGUGAAAUCCCCGGGCUCAACCUGGGAACUGCCUUUGUGACUGCAUGACUAGAGUACGGCAGAGGGGGAUGGAAUUCCGCGUGUAGCAGUGAAAUGCGUAGAUAUGCGGAGGAACACCGAGGGCGAAGGCAAUCCCCUGUGCCUGUACUGACGCUCAUGCACGAAAGCGUGGGGAGCAAACAGG